UUUUUGAUGAUAGCAGCUAUGGAUAAUCAUUGCCUAGACCCAUUAAUUCCUUGGAAGUUACAAAAUGGUGAUAUUGUAAUUGUGCCAUUUCUUUUAAAACAAAACCUUUUUAUUUUAUUUUAUUUUAUUUUUUUUAGAGACAGGGUCUUGCUGUCACCCAUGCUAGAGCACAGUGGUGCAAUCAUAGCUUACUGUAGCCUCAAUAUUUUGGGCUCAAGAGAUCUUUCCACCUCAGCCUUCUGAGUAGCUGAAACUACAGGAACGCAUGCCCUGGGCGAGGGAGACGUGGCCUUCUGGCUUUCAGACUGCAGAGAUUCGUAGCUCUUUGCUUCAUGUUUUUUCAGCCUUGGGAGAAGGAUGUUGCAAUCUCACCAAGAUUUAGGCUGUUAUCAAUAAAAUGAUUUCUUCUCCGCAGAUAUGUAAGGUUUGGGGAAGACUUAUUUGUUACAUUUUUAUUAUUUUAUUUUAUAUUUUUUCUUUCUCGUUUUGUCUUUUCUAAUUUUUUUUUUUAAUUUUCUAUUUUCUGGGGAAGACUUUUAAAAACAAAUCUGGGCUGGGCAUGGUGGCUUAUGCCAGUAAUUCCAGCACUUUGGGAGGCCAAGGCGGACGGAUCACUUGAGCCCAGGGGUUUGAGACCAACCUGGGCAACAUGGUGAAACUCUGCCUCUACAAAAAAUACAAAAAAUGAGUGAGGCAUGGUGGUGGGCACCUGUAGUCCCAGCUACUUGGGAAGCUGAGGCAGGAGGAUCGCUUGAGCCCAGGAGGUUGAGGCUGCAGUGAGCUGAGAUCGCGCCACUGCAUUCCAGCCUGGGCGACAGAGCAAGACUCCAUCUCAAAACAAAACAAAAAACCCCAAACAAACAGAAAAUCUGGAACUAUUGUGGCAAGCAGAGAAAGUGCAGAACAGAAUCAGACUUAGGUGCGAGCAGGGAUGGCUGAGAUCCAUGAAACUGAACCACUCUCUAGGCAGAAAGGGAUUUGUUUUCAAGCAAGUGGUAGACACAUCUCGGAAGAGGGCAACUCAUUGUGGGCUAUGAGGCCUUGGGGGAGCAGAGGUCACCUAACUUCUGUACAGAAGGGAAGCUGUAUAUGAGAGAAGGCAAGAAGGCAGGGAAGUUUGGCAUUGUGUACGCAUGGGCACAGGUGCUUGUGUUUCUGACUCCCAAGGCCACCUGCUUUUCCUUCCAGUGGGGUCUCCCACUUUUGUACUCCCCCUGGUGAAGUGUCACGCAAGUACUAAGUACAUUGUAUAUGAUUCUACUGGAACCAGUGACUUUUUUAUUUUUGUGAAGGAUCUUGGAGUCCCACAGACCUGGAUUUGAUUUCUUGCUCUGCUACUUAACAGUUUCGUAUCCCUGGUGAGUUGUGGAAUCCCCUGGCCCUUGGAUUCCUCCUCUGUAUAAUGGGGCAACACGUGCUUGUCUAUCUCCAGAUGUGUUGCAAGGAUAAUAAAUGAAAUAUGAGAGUGCUUUGAAAACUAUAAACUGCAAGGUAAAUAGUGCAGCAAGUUGUUAUGGAUUGGACUGGAUUUCCCCAAAGUUCCUAUGCAGAAGCUCCAGCCCCCAGUGUGACUAUAUUUGGAGACGGGCUUUAAAAAAGAUAAUUAUGAUUAAAUGAGAUAAGAAGGAUGGGGCCCUAAUCGGACAGAAUUGGUGUCUUUAUAAGAAGAGGAAGACACCAGUGAUCUCUCUGGGCGCAAUCACAGGGGAAAGGCCACGUGAAGAUGCGGUGAGAAGACAGCUGUCUGCAGGCCAGGAAGAGAGGCCUCACCAGGAACCAGCCCUGCUGGCACCUUGGUCUUGGACCUCUAGCCUCCAAAUUGUGACAAAAUAAAUUUCUG
This 1840-nucleotide long non-coding RNA is filed under the name Homo sapiens (human). RNAcentral's name for it is "HSALNT0332155". The record is from RNAcentral. Lineage: Eukaryota; Metazoa; Chordata; Mammalia; Primates; Hominidae.